UACGUAGGGUGCAAGCGUUUGUCCGGAAUUAUUGGGCGUAAAGGGCUCGUAGGCGGUUUGUCGCGUCGGGAGUGAAAUCCACUGGCUUAACUGGUGGCUUGCUUUCGAUACGGGCAGACUGGAGGUAUGCAGGGGGAGAACGGAAUUCCUGGUGUAGCGGUGAAAUGCGCAGAUAUCAGGAGGAACACCGGUGGCGAAGGCGGUUCUCUGGGCAUGUCCUGACGCUGAGGAGCGAAAGUGUGGGGAGCGAACAGG
RNAcentral lists this ribosomal RNA (255 nucleotides) under uncultured bacterium. RNAcentral describes it as "partial 16S ribosomal RNA". It matches the Rfam family "Bacterial small subunit ribosomal RNA", at positions 524 to 776 of the family's 1533-position model. The record is from RNAcentral.